CCAAUAGCGUAUAUUAAAGUUGUUGCAGUUAAAAAGCUCGUAGUUGAACUUCAGGCCUGUCCAGAUGGUCCGCCUUAAUUGGUGUGUACUGUCCUUGGGUGGUUCCUACCUUCUGGCGAAGCGGCAUGGCCUUAAUUGGUUGUGUUGGGGAAGCAGGACUUUUACUGUGAAAAAAUUAGAGUGUUCAAAGCAGGCAUUAUAUGCUCGAAUACAGUAGCAUGGAAUAAUGGAAUAGGACGAUGGUUCUAUUUUGUUGGUUCUAGGACCGUUGUAAUGAUUAAUAGGGAUAGUUGGGGGCAUUAGUAUUCAAUUGUCAGAGGUGAAAUUCUUGGAUUUAUUGAAGACUAACUACUGCGAAAGCAUUUGCCAAGGAUGUUUUCAUUAAUCAAGAACGAAAGUUAGGGGAUCGAAGACGAUCAGAUACCGUCGUAGUCUUAACCAUAAACUAUGCCGACUAGGAAUCGGGCGAUGUUGACAAAAUGACUCGCUCGGCACCUCAUG
This 501-nucleotide ribosomal RNA is filed under the name uncultured Glomeromycotina. RNAcentral describes it as "partial small subunit ribosomal RNA". It matches the Rfam family "Eukaryotic small subunit ribosomal RNA", at positions 591 to 1092 of the family's 1831-position model. Lineage: Eukaryota; Fungi; Glomeromycota. The record is from RNAcentral.